RNAcentral lists this ribosomal RNA (497 nucleotides) under uncultured bacterium. RNAcentral's name for it is "partial 16S ribosomal RNA". It matches the Rfam family "Bacterial small subunit ribosomal RNA", at positions 28 to 507 of the family's 1533-position model. The record is from RNAcentral.
GAUGAACGCUGGCGGCGUGCCUAAUACAUGCAAGUCGAGCGAACAGAUGAGGAGCUUGCUCCUCUGACGUUAGCGGCGGACGGGUGAGUAACACGUGGAUAACCUACCUAUAAGACUGGGAUAACUUCGGGAAACCGGAGCUAAUACCGGAUAAUAUAUUGAACCGCAUGGUUCAAUAGUGAAAGACGGUUUUGCUGUCACUUAUAGAUGGAUCCGCGCCGCAUUAGCUAGUUGGUAAGGUAACGGCUUACCAAGGCAACGAUGCGUAGCCGACCUGAGGGGCUGAUCGGCCACCCUGGAACUGAGACACGGUCCAGACUCCUACGGGACGCCGCAGUAGGGAAUCUUCCGCAAUAGGCGAGAGCCUGACGGAGCAACGCCGCGUGAGUGAUGACGGUCUUCCGAUCGUAAAACUCUGUUAUUAGGGAAGAACAACUGUGUAAGUAGCUAUGCACGUCUUGACGGUACCUAAUCAGAAAGCCACGGCUAACUACGUG